GGGUUGUGAGGUUAAGCGACUAAGCGUACACGGUGGAUGCCCUGGCAGUCAGAGGCGAUGAAGGACGUGCUAAUCUGCGAUAAGCGUCGGUAAGGUGAUAUGAACCGUUAUAACCGGCGAUUUCCGAAUGGGGAAACCCAGUGUGUUUCGACACACUAUCAUUAACUGAAUCCAUAGGUUAAUGAGGCGAACCGGGGGAACUGAAACAUCUAAGUACCCCGAGGAAAAGAAAUCAACCGAGAUUCCCCCAGUAGCGGCGAGCGAACGGGGAGCAGCCCAGAGCCUGAAUCAGUAUGUGUGUUAGUGGAAGCGUCUGGAAAGGCGCGCGAUACAGGGUGACAGCCCCGUACACAAAAAUGCACAUGCUGUGAGCUCGAUGAGUAGGGCGGGACACGUGGUAUCCUGUCUGAAUAUGGGGGGACCAUCCUCCAAGGCUAAAUACUCCUGACUGACCGAUAGUGAACCAGUACCGUGAGGGAAAGGCGAAAAGAACCCCGGCGAGGGGAGUGAAAAAGAACCUGAAACCGUGUACGUACAAGCAGUGGGAGCACGCUUAGGCGUGUGACUGCGUACCUUUUGUAUAAUGGGUCAGCGACUUAUAUUCUGUAGCAAGGUUAACCGAAUAGGGGAGCCGAAGGGAAACCGAGUCUUAACUGGGCGUUAAGUUGCAGGGUAUAGACCCGAAACCCGGUGAUCUAGCCAUGGGCAGGUUGAAGGUUGGGUAACACUAACUGGAGGACCGAACCGACUAAUGUUGAAAAAUUAGCGGAUGACUUGUGGCUGGGGGUGAAAGGCCAAUCAAACCGGGAGAUAGCUGGUUCUCCCCGAAAGCUAUUUAGGUAGCGCCUCGUGAAUUCAUCUCCGGGGGUAGAGCACUGUUUCGGCAAGGGGGUCAUCCCGACUUACCAACCCGAUGCAAACUGCGAAUACCGGAGAAUGUUAUCACGGGAGACACACGGCGGGUGCUAACGUCCGUCGUGAAGAGGGAAACAACCCAGACCGCCAGCUAAGGUCCCAAAGUCAUGGUUAAGUGGGAAACGAUGUGGGAAGGCCCAGACAGCCAGGAUGUUGGCUUAGAAGCAGCCAUCAUUUAAAGAAAGCGUAAUAGCUCACUGGUCGAGUCGGCCUGCGCGGAAGAUGUAACGGGGCUAAACCAUGCACCGAAGCUGCGGCAGCGACGCUUAUGCGUUGUUGGGUAGGGGAGCGUUCUGUAAGCCUGUGAAGGUGUGCUGUGAGGCAUGCUGGAGGUAUCAGAAGUGCGAAUGCUGACAUAAGUAACGAUAAAGCGGGUGAAAAGCCCGCUCGCCGGAAGACCAAGGGUUCCUGUCCAACGUUAAUCGGGGCAGGGUGAGUCGACCCCUAAGGCGAGGCCGAAAGGCGUAGUCGAUGGGAAACAGGUUAAUAUUCCUGUACUUGGUGUUACUGCGAAGGGGGGACGGAGAAGGCUAUGUUGGCCGGGCGACGGUUGUCCCGGUUUAAGCGUGUAGGCUGGUUUUCCAGGCAAAUCCGGAAAAUCAAGGCUGAGGCGUGAUGACGAGGCACUACGGUGCUGA
This 1553-nucleotide ribosomal RNA is filed under the name Escherichia coli. RNAcentral's name for it is "partial 23S ribosomal RNA". It matches the Rfam family "Bacterial large subunit ribosomal RNA", at positions 1 to 1588 of the family's 2925-position model. The record is from RNAcentral. Lineage: Bacteria; Pseudomonadati; Pseudomonadota; Gammaproteobacteria; Enterobacterales; Enterobacteriaceae.